UAAAAAUGGAAGAAGCACUUGACAGCAUUUUAACUUACUUUUCUUGCUUUUUGGACAUCUUAAGAGUGAUCUAAAGCCCAGCCUUGCAUUGAGACAUCAAAUACAAUGCCAAUAAAGUCCUUUUUGUGAACUGUAACAACAUCAUCUGGGUCAUUUACAUCCAGACAUAGCUUCUGCUUGAGUUUACAGGUCACAGGUGACACUUGGUGUUCUUUGAUUGGCUGUAAAUGACGCAAUAACUUCUAUUUCGGUAUUCUCCUCCCACACAUUUUUAUCAUCAGUCCUCUCACCUGUACAGAUAAACACAAAUCACCUGCAUGAUAACUUCGUGACUAACUUUCUCUCGGGCCUUCUCUUUUGAGUUAGUGGUUCUAGAGAUUGCCUUGGAGAAUGUGGUACUUCAAUCUCCAUUGCGAGGUCUGGUGGAUCAUCUACACCUGGAGUUGAUUGUCGAGAUGAUCCUGUUAGUCGAGGUGCAUCAGGAAGUGGGCAGGUUACAUCUUUACAUUCGUAUCUGCAAAAAGGUCUUAUCUUUUCGUAAAGGUACCAUUUCCUUUCAGUUGACAUACCCUUUGGUGGUAAUAUUUUAGGUAGUUCAUCUUCCAUUAUUUGAGCGUCCUCCUUCAGCAAAUUGAAUUGUGUGACUGGGCCAUCUACAGCUUGUCUGGCUGCAACUACACCAGGUGAGGUCGCAUUUACAACAAAGUGUUGAAAGCCUUUGAUGCCUUUUAUUUUCUUGAAUA
RNAcentral lists this long non-coding RNA (743 nucleotides) under Amphimedon queenslandica. RNAcentral describes it as "uncharacterized LOC109584428, transcript variant X1". The record is from RNAcentral. Lineage: Eukaryota; Metazoa; Porifera; Demospongiae; Haplosclerida; Niphatidae.